Molecule: long non-coding RNA, 1207 nt
Filed under: Sorghum bicolor (sorghum)
Lineage: Eukaryota; Viridiplantae; Streptophyta; Magnoliopsida; Poales; Poaceae
Description: long non-coding RNA (SBIC_LNC014755)
Source: RNAcentral
CAAGUGAAAAACUAUAAAGCUUGGCUAUAUACCACAGAAUGGCUGAAUACUUCCCCAAAAUUAAUUUUGUUAUCCAAAUUGAAUACAUAUUUUCGUAUAUAGCAUCAUGAGCCCAGCAUAUAUACCAAGGUAAGCACGACAGAUAGAGUAGAUUUCAGUAGCUAGUUUCAGGACAAGUGACUCAGCCAGGAAGUCUUCCUCCCACUGUCACAGUUGAAAGCAUCAAGAUCAUCAACAUGGACCGACAUUUAAACAAUCGUGCAGUACACUAAGGUGUUUUUUGGUUUUCAGACAAUUAACAAAACUAUAAAGCGGAUCAUGUCACAGUUAUUUACUUGAUUUGUUUGCAGGAGAAUGUCAGCAAAAAAAGGAAUAAAUAAGAACCCUCUAGGGGGUCGCCCAAAGUCUUGGGCUCUUGGCCGCACAGUAAACCACGAGGAGCUCAAGCUCGUCAAACGUGUGUGGCGCGUGGGUGUGGGUUAGGACUGAGGUUGCUAUAUAUAUGAGGGCAUGAGACGUGAAAAACCAGCAGCCUUGAGAUGAUCUAAUAAAUACUAACCAAUGGGUUGUACCGGGACAGAGGAAAAUAAGAAAAUGUGACAAUCAAAUGUGGAGGGACGGAUAUGAUUCAACUGGAUAAAUUGGCCAUGCAUAUAGCACGGUAUCGUUGGACUCUGUGGCGGAGCAUGGCCUAAAAUCACAGAGCAAAUUUUCUCAAUGCUAUCUGUAAGACUAAGAACUGAGCCUUAUUUAACUAGAUCCAUGGCAAUGACUGAACAAAUACAUUAAUUGAGAAUGGUUUACCAAGUUCUAGACAUGAAAAACUAGUCAGACACAAACUUUGGAUAAUGCCUGAAUGAAUUUUAGUGUCGGUUCCCUUUUAUGCAGAAAAUGAACGAGGUGGAUAUUUUGAGAUAGAUAACUAGGCCUUAUGCUUUGCCAAGAGCUUUGGGAUAACUAGGCCUUAUGCUUUGCCAAGAGAUUGAGUGAUUGAGGGAGACUAGAAUUGUUUCUUAAUAAUUCAUUGCUUGCUUUCCAUUGUGCCCUAUGAGCUAAAUAUAAAAGGUACAAAGGACUAACACCUCUUGUGCCUAGACAAUAUGGUACUAUUCCUAUAGACAAAUAACUAAGAGAGACACUAAUUAACACUAAUGGGCUUAAGGCCCAACUAGGACACUUGCGCCCUACGGCGCCCCUCUUUAUGCCC